Molecule: transfer-messenger RNA, 416 nt
Filed under: Simkaniaceae
Lineage: Bacteria; Pseudomonadati; Chlamydiota; Chlamydiia; Parachlamydiales
Also listed under: 1 other name
Description: Neptunochlamydia sp024233515 Standard tmRNA
Rfam family: transfer-messenger RNA
About the family: Bacterial tmRNA, also known as 10Sa RNA or SsrA, is named for its dual tRNA and mRNA-like properties. Its role is to liberate the mRNA from a stalled ribosome.
Source: RNAcentral
GGGGGUGCACCGGUUUCGACUUGGAAACAAAGUACCGAUGGCAUGCAGAGGAUUCGGUUGGCCUCUUAAAAAAGCCGAAACGACAUAACUGUCAAUACAAAAAAAGCUGAGAUCAUUUCUCUCUUCGGAGAGGCGCCUGCAAAGGCUGAUCAAAGACUUGUUGCUUAAGACCUAACCCGUCGUUUAGCAACCGAUCCUUCAAGAUUGGACCAGGGAUCUUGAAAAGGUCGUCAGAGAUCUUGGUAUGAGCGGCGCCGCUUGACUUCCAGAGGCACCGUUUCGAGAUUAAAGGAAGUGUAUAAGUCCCUAGUGGGGUUCCUUACAGCAAGACUUAUACUAAAGAUAAGGAAAUAAGCAUGUAGGCAUUGUUAUAGAGUUUGCUAAGGACGAGAGUUCGAUUCUCUCCACCUCCAAAA